Long non-coding RNA from Cydia amplana, 240 nucleotides. RefSeq lists it as uncharacterized. Lineage: Eukaryota; Metazoa; Arthropoda; Insecta; Lepidoptera; Tortricidae. The transcript has 3 exons. The record is from RefSeq and is a predicted model, not a curated record.
AUGCCGGACAAAAUGAUUCGCACAAAACCUAAAGUCAAACUUCGAGAUAAGAUAACUGGACAUGCGCAGAGACAGCUUCAAAAUCCAAACUAUAUAAUCAAACAUGACAUGGCUAAACGUAUCAAAUUGACAACGAUUGAAACGCCUGCAGACGUUUCUCAGGCAGUUUGCUGCAUUCACGUUAUGGAAAACUGCUCCAAGAUUAGAUUUUAAGUAUAGUUACCGCUAGUUAAAGUAGAA